This 560-nucleotide small RNA is filed under the name Pan troglodytes (chimpanzee). Its description in RNAcentral is "processed transcript". The record is from RNAcentral. Lineage: Eukaryota; Metazoa; Chordata; Mammalia; Primates; Hominidae.
AAGAGCAUCCUCAGCGGGCGAGUCCCCGGCUCCUCCAGCUCCUUCCUCCUCUUCCUCCUCCUCCUUCACCUCCGGCUUUUGGGGGGUCACUGUCCUCUCUCGGCAGCAGAAUGAGCCGGCAGGUGGUCCGCUCCAGCAAGUUCCGCCACGUGUUUGGACAGCCGGCCAAGGCCGACCAGUGCUAUGAAGAUGUGCGCGUCUCACAGACCACCUGGGACAGUGGCUUCUGUGCUGUCAACCCUAAGUUUGUGGCCCUGAUCUGUGAGGCCAGCGGGGGAGGGGCCUUCCUGGUGCUGCCCCUGGGCAAGACUGGACGUGUGGACAAGAAUGCGCCCACGGUCUGUGGCCACACAGCCCCUGUGCUAGACAUCGCCUGGUGCCCGCACAAUGACAACGUCAUUGCCAGUGGCUCCGAGGACUGCACAGUCAUGGUUGUGACAACGUGAUCAUGGUGUGGGACGUGGGCACUGGGGCGGCCAUGCUGACACUGGGCCCAGAGGUGCACCCAGACACGAUCUACAGUGUGGACUGGAGCCGAGAUGGAGGCCUCAUUUGUACCU